Molecule: long non-coding RNA, 594 nt
Organism: Alosa alosa (allis shad)
Lineage: Eukaryota; Metazoa; Chordata; Actinopteri; Clupeiformes; Clupeidae
Exons: 5
Source: RefSeq, a predicted model, not a curated record
CUCCGCCAGAGACGGUUGAGAAAGUGAAGGUCCGCCAUUUUUCCUCGCUUGCUCACGGAACAUUUUUGGAUCCUGUAAUUGCAAGGCCUUUAUGUGGCAGUGCAAAUGUGGAGCGCAAGACCGGAGUGUCAUCAAGGUCUCAUUUAUUGAAGUAUUACAGAAUGUCAGAACUCGACAUCAUCUGCACAAGGCUGUCUGCUGUGUGUGCGUAGGAAGGGAGGAGAUCAUGGCUGCCAUUGACUAGAAUUAUACCAUUGGCUUGUUGAGAGCUUGCAACCUGAAAGCACUUGUGUACUUAAAUGAAGGCUCUGAGAAACUCAUAAAGGAAUACCUGGACGCGGACUGAUGCCCAGAGCCAGAUGAAGAAAACCACCAUCGGGAUCUUUGUAAUCAAACAUGAGGGUGCCAAUGCCUCCACUAGAAGAUGUAGACAUUAUAGUUGAAUCACUAACAAUGUAACAAAACUAAACAUGCUGUGUUUAGCAGAGAUAUUUUUCUGUUCAUUGCAUUUCUAUUUUACUAAAAAAUGUCCCUGAUGGAUUGAUGAGAAUGGAGACAAAGGUUGCUGCUAAAUAAAUGCAGAUUUGUUUUGAA